This 530-nucleotide ribosomal RNA is filed under the name Streptosporangium sp. 310F05. Its description in RNAcentral is "bacterial SSU rRNA". It matches the Rfam family "Bacterial small subunit ribosomal RNA", at positions 93 to 640 of the family's 1533-position model. Lineage: Bacteria; Bacillati; Actinomycetota; Actinomycetes; Streptosporangiales; Streptosporangiaceae. The record is from RNAcentral.
GAGCGGCGAACGGGUGAGUAACACGUGAGUAACCUGCCCCCGACUCUGGGAUAAGCCCGGGAAACUGGGUCUAAUACCGGAUAUGACACCUCCUCGCAUGGGGUGGGUGUGGAAAGUCUUUUCGGUUGGGGAUGGACUCGCGGCCUAUCAGCUUGUUGGUGGGGUAAUGGCCUACCAAGGCGACGACGGGUAGCCGGCCUGAGAGGGCGACCGGCCACACUGGGACUGAGACACGGCCCAGACUCCUACGGGAGGCAGCAGUGGGGAAUAUUGCGCAAUGGGCGAAAGCCUGACGCAGCGACGCCGCGUGGGGGAUGACGGCCUUCGGGUUGUAAACCUCUUUCAGCAGGGACGAAGUUGACGUGUACCUGCAGAAGAAGCGCCGGCUAACUACGUGCCAGCAGCCGCGGUAAUACGUAGGGCGCAAGCGUUGUCCGGAAUUAUUGGGCGUAAAGAGCUCGUAGGUGGCUUGUCACGUCGGGUGUGAAAGCUUGGGGCUUAACUCCAGGUCUGCAUUCGAUACGGGCUGA